This 520-nucleotide ribosomal RNA is filed under the name uncultured Acaulospora. Its description in RNAcentral is "SSU rRNA". It matches the Rfam family "Eukaryotic small subunit ribosomal RNA", at positions 569 to 1088 of the family's 1831-position model. Lineage: Eukaryota; Fungi; Glomeromycota; Glomeromycetes; Diversisporales; Acaulosporaceae. The record is from RNAcentral.
AGCAGCCGCGGUAAUUCCAGCUCCAAUAGCGUAUAUUAAAGUUGUUGCAGUUAAAAAGCUCGUAGUUGAAUUUCGGGGUUUAUCCGUUGGUCGGGCUUUUUGGUCUGUACUGGCGUGAUGGAUUCCUACCUUCUGAAUAACCGGCAUGCCAUUAAUUUGGUGCGCCGGGGAAGCAGGACUGUUACCUUGAAAAAAUUAGAGUGCUUAAAGCAGGCUUAUGCCUGAAUACAUUAGCAUGGAAUAAUGAAAUAGGACGGCAUGGUUCUAUUUUGUUGGUUUCUAGGAUCACCGUAAUGAUUAAUAGGGAUAGUUGGGGGCAUUAGUAUUCAAUUGUCAGAGGUGAAAUUCUUGGAUUUAUUGAAGACUAACUACUGCGAAAGCAUUUGCCAAGGAUGUUUUCAUUAAUCAAGAACGAAAGUUAGGGGAUCGAAGACGAUCAGAUACCGUCGUAGUCUUAACCAUAAACUAUGCCGACUAGGGAUCGGAUGAUGUUAAUUUUUUAAUGACUCAUUCGGCGCCU